Molecule: long non-coding RNA, 9428 nt
Organism: Nerophis ophidion (straightnose pipefish)
Lineage: Eukaryota; Metazoa; Chordata; Actinopteri; Syngnathiformes; Syngnathidae
Exons: 2
Source: RefSeq, a predicted model, not a curated record
GUACAGAGCCCACAUAAGGGCAAGGAAAAACUCACACCCAGUGGGACGUCGGGGACAGUGACAAUGAUGACUAUGAGAAACCUUGGAGAGGACCGCAUAUGUGGAGGUGGGAGGGGCCUUUCCCCAGGUGCAUGUCCUUGAAGGUGGGAGGAGCCUAUCCCCAGGUGCAUGUCUUUGGAGGUGGGAGGAGCUUAUCCCCAGGUGCAUGUCUUUGAAGGUGGGAGGGGCCUAUCCCCAGGUGCAUGUCUUUGAAGGUGGGAGGAGCCUAUCCCCAGGUGCAUGUCUUUGGAGAUGGGAGGAAGCCGGCGUAUCCGGAGAGAUCCCACGCAUUCACGGGGAGAACAUCAAUCACUCAAUGUACUUUAGUGCCAAUAAUUCUGCAUCCAAUGACUGAAGAAGAUCCUUUUUGACACUUUUUGAAGUCAGGAUCCAAACAGCCAAUGAUCUUUUACUUGCUGACAGGUAAUGUCCUCCACAGUGGACUUGUUGAUAUGAGUGUGUUUGUAAGAAAAGUGAAGUAACUUUGAACACAAACUGAUCUUUGCCUUGACGUAAACUGUCUGGGUGGUGCUUUAUGUCUGAACAAUGGACGUCUGGAUUGAAGAUUCUUCAAGAAGAUUUUGGCUUUACUUGCAUUUCCUGCCAUGCAAAGUACGUUUUCUGGGGUGAUUUGUGUCGUGAUUGGCUGGCUGCAGUUUCCUUGGAAACGCUUGGGAUGAAAGUGGUGAGAUUUGCCUGGCAGAAAGCAGACUUUCUUACCCGCGCCAAAUACGUUUUUAUUUGCCAGGGUUUGUUUGUCUGCUCAACUCAAAAAGUUCUGGACAGAUUUGGAUGAAAUGUGCGAAAAGGACAAGGACAAGUCUUCCUGUGUACUACACUUUCCUUCCUGCUUACGCCGUUCUACGCCUGCACCUUGCCACUCCAGUUCUACGCCUCGCACCUUGCCACUCCAGUUCUACGACCGCACCUUGCCACUCUGGUGCUGGCCAGAGAUAUUUUUUGACCUGCACAAGAAUAACGCACCAGAUAUAAAAUCUAGUCUUAGACUUAGAUUGUUACAUCCGGUCUUGGAUUUAGAUGGGUCACAUCUAGUCUUAGACUUAGAUUGUUACAUCUUGUCUUAGACUUAGAUUGGUCACAUCUAGUCUUAGACUUAGAUUGCUACAUCUUGUCUUAGGCUUAGAUUGUUACAUCUCGUCCUAGACUUAGAUUGUUACAUCUAGUCUUAGACUUAGAUUGGUCACAUCUAGUCUUAGACUUAGAUUGGUCACAUCUUGUCUUAGACUUAGACUGGUCUCAUCUAGUCUGAGAAAAGAUUGUCCUAGUUUUAGACUUUGAUUGUUACAUCUCGUCUUAGACUUAGACUGUUACAUCUCGUCUUAGACUUGGAUUGUUACAUCUAGUCUUAGACUUAGACUGGUCACAUCUUGUCUUAGACUUAGACUGGUCACAUCUAGUUUUAGACUUAAACUGGUCACAUCUAGUCUUAGACUUAGAUUGUUACAUCUAGUCUUAGACUUAGAUUGGUCACAUCUAGUCUUAGACUUUUAUUGUUACAUCUAGUCUUACACUGAGAUGGGUUACAUCUAGUCUUGGACUUAGAUGGGUCACAUUUAGUCUUAGAUGGUUCACAUCUAGUCUUGGACUUUGAUUGUUACAUCUAGUGUUAGGCUUUGAUUGUUACAUCUAGUCCUAGACUUAGAUUGGUCACUUCUACUCUUAGACUAGAUUGGUCACAUCUAGUCUUAGACUUAGAUUUUUACAUCUAGUCUAGGACGUAGAUGGGUCACAUCUAGUCUUAGACUUAGAUUGUUACAUCUAGUCUUGGACUUAGAUUGUUACAUUUAGUCUUAGACUAAGAUUGUUACAUCUAGUCUUAGACUUUCAUUGUUACAUAUAGUGUAGGAAUUAGAUUUGUCACAUCUAGUCUUAGACUUACAUUGGUCACAUCUAGUCUUAGACUUAAAUGAGUCACAUCUCGUCUUAGACUUGGACUGGUUUACAUCUAGUCUUAGACUUUGAUUGUUACACCUAGUCUUAGACUUUGAUUGUUACAUCUAGUCUUAGACUUGGAUUGUUACAUCUAGUGUAGGAAUUAGAUUUGUCACAUCUAGUCUGAGACUUAGAUUGGUCACAUCUCGUCUUAGACCUAGAUGGGUCACAUCUAGUCUUAGACUUAGAUUGUUACAUCUAAUCUUAGACUUAGAUUGUUACAUCUAGUCUUAGACUUAGAUUGUUACAUCUAGUCUAAGACUUUCAUUGUUACAUCUAGUGUAAGAAUUAGAUAUGUCACAUAUAGUCUUAGACUUAAAUGGGUCACAUCUCGUCUUAAACUUAGAUUGGUUUACAUCUCGUCUUAGACUUAGACCGGUUUACAUCUAGUCUUAGACUUUGAUUGUUACAUCUAGUCUUAAACUUGGAUUGUUACAUCUAGUGUAGGAAUUAGAUUUGUCACAUCUAGUCUGAGACUUAGAUUGGUCACAUCUCGUGUUAGACCUAGAUGGGUCACAUCUAGUCUUAGACUUAGAUGGGUCACAUCUAGUCUUAGACUUAGAUUGUUACAUCUAGUCUUAGUCUUUCCUUGUUACAUCUAGUGUAAGAAUUAGAUUUGUCACAUCUAGUCUUGGACUAGCUUUUUACAUUUAGUCUUAGACUAAGAUAUGUCACAUCUAGUCUUAGACUUAGAUUUUGUUACAGUUAGUCUUGGACUUAGAUUGUUACAUCUAGUCUUAGACUUUCAUUGUUAUAUCUAGUGUAAGAAUUACAUUUGUCACAUCUAGUCUUAGACUUAGAUUGGUCACAUUUAGUCUUUGACUUAAUCGGGUCACAUCUCAUCUUAGACUUAGACUGAUUUACAUCUAGUCUUAGACUUUGAUUGUUACAUCUAGUCUUAGACUUUGAUUUUUACAUCUGGUCUUAGACUUGGAUUGUUACAUCUAGUGUAGGAAUUAGAUUUGUCACAUUUAGUCUUAGACUUAGAUUGGUCACAUCUAGUCUUAGACUAGAUUGGUCACAUCUAGUCUUAGACUUAGAUUUUUUUACAGCUAGUCUUGGACUUAGAUUGUUACAUCUAGUCUUAGACUUAGAUUGUUACAUCUAGUCUUAGACUUUCAUCGUUAUAUCUAGUGUAAGAAUUAGAUUUGUCACAUCUAGUCUUAGACUUAGAUUGGUCACAUCUAGUCUUAGACUUGAAUGGGUCACAACUCGUCUUAAACUUGGACUGGUUUACAUCUCGUCUUAGACUUAGACUGGUUUACAUCUAGUCUUAGACUUUGAUUGUUACAUCUAGUCUUAGACUUGGAUUGUUACAUCUAGUGUAGGAAUUAGAUUUGUCACAUCCAGUCUGAGACUUAGAUGGGUCACAUCUCGUCUUAGAGUUAGAUGGGUCACAUCUAGUCUUAGACUUAGAUUGUUACAUCUAGUCUGAGACUUAGAUUGGUCACAUUUAGUCUUAGACUUAGAUUGGUCACAUCUAGCCUUAGACAUAGAUUGAUCACAUCUCGUCUUAGACUUAGAUUUAUCACAUCUAGUCUAAGACUUAGAUUGGUCACAUCUCGUCUUAGACUUAAAUUUGUCACAUCUAGUCUGAGACUUAGAUUGGUCACAUUUAGUCUUAGACUUAGAUUGGUCACAUCUAGUCUUAGACUUAGAUUGAUCACAUCUAGUCUUAGACUUAGAUGGGUCACAUCUAGUCUUAGACUUAGAUUGUUACAUCUAGUCUGAGACUUAGAUUGGUCACAUUUAGUCUUAGACUUAGAUUGGUCACAUCUAUCCUUAGACUUAGAUUGAUCACAUCUCGUCUUAGACUUAGAUUUAUCACAUCUAGUCUAAGACUUAGAUUGGUCACAUCUCGUCUUAGACUUAAAUUUGUCACAUCUAGUCUGAGACUUAGAUUGGUCACAUUUAGUCUUAGACUUAGAUUGGUCACAUCUAGUCUUAGACUUAGAUUGAUCACAUCUAGUCUUAGACUUAGAUUAGUCACAUCUAGUUGUGUUUAUCACUACUAUAGGGUGAACCCAUCCUUGCCCAGGCACCCCCUCCUAGUUUUGGAAUAUACAUGUUUGGAGCUGUGAUGAUCUAAUGCCCUGAGAUGAGUGUACUAUGGGAAAUAAAUCAAUAGAUAGAACAAACUGUACCCACUUGUAUUGAUCCAAAUAGGCUCAUUUUAUUACCAAAGUUUUAUAUCACAAAAUAUUUCCAAAAAACGUCUAGGAAUCUACAUUAGUCAAUUUGCCCGCAAAAACAUGUAGUUGUAACCCCCUAAGAUUGUCUAGUUCUUGGCACCUCUCUAUGGUAAAUAAGCUCUCCUAGUGUAUCUCACAGAGUCUCUUCCUUGUUAUAUGAAGGGUUACCAAGUCCAUCGGCCGAGUCUCUCUUUGCCUUUUUGCUGGUCCAACAUCUCCAGAAGAUGAUGGCCGAGACGAGGAGCAGAAGGGCGACUCCUCCACAGACGAUGGCUGCCAAUAUGUUGAAGUCUGAAGACGGAGGAUCAUAGCGCUGGCAGGAGAACUGGGAGGGUGUGCUGUGUCCGGCUUUGUUCACCGCCUCCACACAGACCUUUGUUCCUGCUUCCAGAAACCCCACCGGACUUCGUCGGAAAGCGUUGCCAAAUUCCAGGACUUGUCCGUCUCUUCCUUCCACCACCACCUUGUACUGAGUCACCACGGAAGAAGGAGAACACCACUGCACCUCCACCUUGCCCCGGUUGUCCCCCUCCCUGAUUGGCACCAGGGCUUGGACUCGCGGCGCAUGCGGAGGCGUGUCCGGCCCGCUGACGCCAGGACAGAGACAACCCCUGGUGUCCGCCAGCUGGGCACAGGGCACCUGCUGCUCCGAGCAGGGGUUGAACGGGCAGAGCUCGCGCUGAAGGAAGUGAGUCCUGGUGGUGGCCAGAACCACGGGCGGCACCCGGCUGGCCUGCUCGUCCUCGUCGUAAUAGUCCUCGUAAUCGUCUGCACCGAAGUCUGUGAUGAAUGUGAUCCGUGGACGCGUGAUGGGAGGAGAAGUGGAAGCGCCCUCGGCGUGGAGGCCAGGCCAACUCAUCAGAACAAGGAGAAGCACAUGUAGUGAUGUCAUGUCUGUGGAGGGACAUAUCAGGGUAUCAAUACCAUAGGGACGUGACCAUCAUCAGACAGGGUAUCAAUUCCUUAGGGACAUGACCAUCAUCCUACAGGGUAUCAAUACCAUUGGGGACAUGACCAUCAACAUACACGGUAUCAAGACCAUAGGGACAUGACUAUCAUCCUACAGGGUAUCAAUACCAUAGGGACAUGACCAUCAUCAUACACGGUAUCAAUACCAUUGGGGACAUGACCAUCAUCCUACACGGUAUCAAUACCAUAGGGACAUGACCAUUAUCCUACACGGUAUCAAUACCAUUGGGGACAUGACCAUCAUCCUACACGGUAUCAAUACCAUAGGGACAUGACCAUCAUCCUACACGGUAUCAAUACCAUUGGGGACAUGGCCAUCAUCCUACACGGUAUCAAUACCAUUGGGACAUGACCAUCAUCCUACACGGUAUCAAUACCAUAGGGUCAUGACCAUUACAUACACGGUAUCAAUACCAUUGGGGACAUGACCAUCAUCCUACACGGUAUCAAUACCAUUGGGGACAUGACUAUCAUCCUAUAGGGUAUCAAUACCAUAGGGACAUGACCAUCAUCAUACACGGUAUCAAUACCAUUGGGGACAUGACCAUCAUCCUACAGGGUAUCAAUACCAUAGGGACAUGACCAUCAUCAUACAUGGUAUCAAUACCCUAGGGGACAUGACUAUAUAUCCUAUAGGGUAUCAAUACCAUUGGGGACAUGACCAUCAACAUACACGGUAUCAAUACCAUUGGGGACAUGACUAUGAUCCUAUAGGGUAUCAAUACCAUAGUGACAUGACUAUCAUCCUAUAGGGUAUCAAUACCAUAGGGACAUGACCAUCAUCAUACACGGUAUCAAUACCAUUGCGGACAUGACCAUCAUCCUACAGGGUAUCAAUACCAUAGGGACAUGACCAUCAUCAUACAGGGUAUCAAUACCAUUGGGGACAUGACUAUCAUCCUAUAGGGUAUCAAUACCAUUGGAGACAUGACUAUCAUCCUAUAGGGUAUCAAUACCAUUGGGGACAUGACUAUCAUCCUAUAGGGUAUCAAUACCAUUGGGGACAUGACCAUCAACAUACACGGUAUCAAUACCAUUGGGGACAUGACUAUCAUCCUAUAGGGUAUCAAUACCAUUGGGGACAUGACCAUCAUCAUACACGGUAUCAAUACCAUUGGGGACAUGACUAUGAUCCUAUAGGGUAUCAAUACCAUUGGGGACAUGACCAUCAUCCUACAGGGUAUCAAUACCAUAGGGACAUGACCAUCAUCCUACACGGUAUCAAUACCAUUGGGGACAUGACUAUCAUCCUAUAGGGUAUCAAUACCAUAGGGGCAUGACCAUCAUCAUACACGGUAUCAAUACCAUUGGGGACAUGACCAUCAUCCUACAGGGUAUCAAUACCAUAGGGACAUGACCAUCAUCAUACACGGUAUCAAUACCAUUGGGGACAUGACCAUCAUCCUACAGGGUAUCAAUACCAUAGGGACAUGACCAUCAUCAUACACGGUAUCAAUACCAUAGGGACAUGACCAUCAUCCUACACGGUAUCAAUACCAUUCGGGACAUGACCAUCAUCCUACACGGUAUCAAUACCAUAGGGACAUGACCAUCAUCCUACACGGUAUCAAUACCAUUGGGGACAUGACCAUCAUCCUACACGGUAUCAAUACCAUAGGGACAUGACCAUCAUCCUACACGGUAUCAAUACCAUUGGGGACAUGGCCAUCAUCCUACACGGUAUCAAUACCAUUGGGACAUGACCAUCAUCCUACACGGUAUCAAUACCAUAGGGUCAUGACCAUUACAUACACGGUAUCAAUACCAUUGGGGACAUGACCAUCAUCCUACACGGUAUCAAUACCAUUGGGGACAUGACUAUCAUCCUAUAGGGUAUCAAUACCAUAGGGACAUGACCAUCAUCAUACACGGUAUCAAUACCAUUGGGGACAUGACCAUCAUCCUACAGGGUAUCAAUACCAUAGGGACAUGACCAUCAUCAUACACGGUAUCAAUACCAUUGGGGACAUGACUAUAUAUCCUAUAGGGUAUCAAUACCAUUGCGGACAUGACCAUCAACAUACACGGUAUCAAUACCAUUGGGGACAUGACUCUCAUCCUAUAGGGUAUCAAUACCAUUGGGGACAUGACCAUCAACAUACACGGUAUCAAUACCAUUGGGGACAUGACUAUGAUCCUAUAGGGUAUCAAUACCAUAGUGACAUGACUAUCAUCCUAUAGGGUAUCAAUACCAUAGGGACAUGACCAUCAUCAUACACGGUAUCAAUACCAUUGGGGACAUGACUAUCAUCCUAUAGGGUAUCAAUACCAUUGGAGACAUGCCUAUCAUCCUAUAGGGUAUCAAUACCAUUGGGGACAUGACUAUCAUCCUAUAGGGUAUCAAUACCAUUGGGGACAUGACCAUCAACAUACACGGUAUCAAUACCAUUGGGGACAUAACUAUGAUCCUAUAGGGUAUCAAUACCAUUGGGGACAUGACCAUCAUCCUACAGGGUGUCAAUACCAUAGGGACAUGACCAUCAUCAUACACGGUAUCAAUACCAUAGGGACAUGACCAUCAUCCUACACGGUAUCAAUACCAUUGGGGACAUGACCAUCAUCCUACAGGGUAUCAAUACCAUUGGGGACAUGACUCCUCCAGAAUCCAACAUCUUGUCGACAGAGGGUUGUAAAAGUGACUUUGGAGCAAAAUGGACACUAAAGAAUAUCUAACACAUUUUAUCUUGACCACAAGGAAGGGUUUUAAAUGGUCACAGUUCAUUAGGAAGCAGUGCGGCUUCAUUAACUCGGAGCCGUAUUGAACACCUACACAAAUACAGAGAGUUCUAGCAAAUAUCUCUUUGGUGAGCAAUCGAGCUCCUGUUUGCAGAUCCAUGAUCAAAUAAGAAAAUAUCCCAACAACGGCCAAUCUGCCAGAGGGAAAGUGGCCUCUUUAGUUCCUAUUUGGAAUGGAACAUUUGCAUAAUUCGUCCCACAGACAUAGAAGUAACCUCGUUGUCAUCCAUGGAACUAAAGAUGUACUCAAGAACAGAAGAAUAGAUGUUUUUGUUCCUGUUCCCAUCGUCUCUGAUGGUGCAGGUGCGCACUACACAAUACACACGUUUAUCUCCACAGUUCUUCUCUCCUACAAAAUCAAUAAGACACCAACAUUGGAUUGAUGGAUUUCUGGACUUGAGUCAAUUAACUCCUGGAGUUUUGCCAUAAAAGUUCAAUGGUUUCUGUGGGAACUUGAAUCAAGCAUAAAUAAUGACUGCGUCAACAAGAAUAAAGCACUAAGUUGUUUUGUAAUCAGGCCUCAGCAAAAAAAAAUAGGUUUCCUGUACCUGUGAUGGAGGGUUCCACUUUUCACUCUUUUUCCACACGUUCUCUCGCUGUUGCCUGGUCUUGCGUUCAAGUUCUCUCGCUGUUGCCUGGUCUUGUGUUCACGUUCUCUUGCCGUUGCCUGGUCUUGUGUUCAAGUUCUCUUGCCGUUGCCUGGUCUUGUGUUCACGUUCUCUUUCCGUUGCUUGGUCUUGUGUUCAAGUUUUCUUGCCGUUGCCUGGUCUUGUGUUCAAGUUCUCCUGCCGUUGCCUGGUCUUGUGUUCAGGUUCUCUUGCCGUUGCUUGGUCUUGUGUUCAGGUUCUUUUGCCGUUGCCUGGUCUUGUGUUCAAGUUCCUUUGCCGUUGCCUGGUCUUGUUGUGUUCACGUUGUCUUGCCGUUGCCUGGUCUUGUGUUCAAGUUCUCUUGCUGUUGCUUGGUCUUGUGUUCAGGUUCUCCGGCCGUUGCCUGGUCUUGUGUUCACGUUCUCCGGCCGUUGCCUGGUCUUGUGUUCACGUUCUCCUGCCGUUGCCUGGUCUUGUGUUCACGUUCUCCUGCCGUUGCCUGGUCUUGUGUUCACGUUCUCCUGCCGUUGCCUGGUCUUGUGUUUAAGUUCUCCUGCCGUUGCCUGGUCUUGUGUUCACGUUCUUCUGCCGUUGCCUGGUCUUGUGUUCACGUUCUCCUGCUGUUGCCUGGUCUUGUGUUCACGUUCUCCUCCCGUUGCCUGGUCUUGUGCUCUGACUGUGCAAAGAAUCUCCUCAACAUCCCCUCUUGUUCUCCCCUUGGUGCCUCUCCCUCCCCCUUUCAAUCCCACAUGGCGCUGAGCACUAUUUAUUCCCUCUGCUCUCUUUCUCAACAUGCUUCAAGGCACCAUCACACUUUUAUAUGCUUAAAAAUAAGGAAUGUAUGUGUUUGGGGCGUGUAGUGUCACCGUCUGCUGCUCGCCGUAUGAAGAGAGAAGUUGCUUGUUUUGUUUUUAUUUUAUUUUGUUUGCUAUUGAAGCCGUGGUAAAAACUU